AUUGAACGCUGGCGGCGUGCCUAACACAUGCAAGUCGAGCGGUAACAGGUGUAGCAAUACAUGCUGACGAGCGGCGAACGGGUGAGUAAUGCUUCGGAAUCUACCCAAUGGUGGGGAAUAACCAGCCGAAAGGUUGGCUAAUACCGCAUACGUCCCACGGGAGAAAGCAGGGGAUCGCAAGACCUUGCGCCAAUGGAUGAGCCGAAGUCGGAUUAGCUAGUUGGAGGGUAACGGCCUACCAAGGCGACGAUCCGUAGCUGGUCUGAGAGGACGGACCAGCCACACUGGGACUGAGACACGGCCCAGACUCCUACGGGAGGCAGCAGUGGGGAAUAUUGGACAAUGGGGGAAACCCGUCGAUCCAGCGACGCCGCGUGUGUGAA
RNAcentral lists this ribosomal RNA (383 nucleotides) under uncultured bacterium. Its description in RNAcentral is "bacterial SSU rRNA". It matches the Rfam family "Bacterial small subunit ribosomal RNA", at positions 29 to 409 of the family's 1533-position model. The record is from RNAcentral.